AGGACGAACGCUGGCGGCGUGCUUAACACAUGCAAGUCGAGCGGAAAGGCCCUUCGGGGUACUCGAGCGGCGAACGGGUGAGUAACACGUGAGUAAUCUGCCCCUAGCUCUGGGAUAGCUCCGGGAAACCGGGAUUAAUACCAGAUACGACCACUUUAGACAUCUUCUGUGGUGGAAAGAACUUCGGCUAGGGAUGAACUCGCGGCCUAUCAGCUUGUUGGUGAGGUAACGGCUCACCAAGGCGACGACGGGUAGCCGGCCUGAGAGGGCGACCGGCCACACUGGGACUGAGACACGGCCCAGACUCCUACGGGAGGCAGCAGUGGGGAAUAUUGCGCAAUGGGCGAAAGCCUGACGCAGCGACGCCGCGUGGGGGAUGAAGGCCUUCGGUUGUAACCCUUUCAGCAGGGACGAAGCGAAAGUGACGGUACCUGCAGAAGAAGCGCCGGCUAACUACGCGCCAGCAGCCGC
Molecule: ribosomal RNA, 471 nt
Filed under: uncultured bacterium
Lineage: Bacteria
Description: SSU rRNA
Rfam family: Bacterial small subunit ribosomal RNA
Source: RNAcentral